GAUGAACGCUAGCUACAGGCUUAACACAUGCAAGUCGCGGGGCAGCAUGAAGGAUGCUUGCAUCCUUUGAUGGCGACCGGCGCACGGGUGAGUAACGCGUAUCCAACCUGCCUGUUACCACGGCACAGCCCGUCGAAAGGCGGAUUAAUGCCGUAUGUGGUCCUUUGCGGGCAUCUAAUUAGGACUAAAGGUUCGGCGGUAACGGAUGGGGAUGCGUCCGAUUAGCUAGACGGCGGGGUAACGGCCCACCGUGGCUACGAUCGGUAGGGGUUCUGAGAGGAAGGUCCCCCACACUGGAACUGAGACACGGUCCAGACUCCUACGGGAGGCAGCAGUGAGGAAUAUUGGUCAAUGGGCGGAAGCCUGAACCAGCCAAGUAGCGUGAGGGAAGAUUGCCCUAUGGGUUGUAAACCUCUUUUGUGCGGGGAUAAAGUGUGGGACGUGUCCCAUAUUGCAGGUACCGCACGAAUAAGGACCGGCUAAUUCCGUGCCAGCAGCCGCGGUAAUACGGAAGGUCCGGGCGUUAUCCGGAUUUAUUGGGUUUAAAGGGAGCGCAGGCCGUCCUUUAAGCGUGCUGUGAAAUGCCGCGGCUCAACCGUGGCACUGCAGCGCGAACUGGAGGACUUGAGUACGCACGAGGUAGGCGGAAUUCGUGGUGUAGCGGUGAAAUGCUUAGAUAUCACGAAGAACUCCGAUUGCGAAGGCAGCUUACCGGAGCGCAACUGACGCUGAGGCUCGAAAGCGCGGGUAUCGAACAGGAUUAGAUACCCUGGUAGUCCGCGC
Molecule: ribosomal RNA, 783 nt
Filed under: uncultured bacterium
Lineage: Bacteria
Description: bacterial SSU rRNA
Rfam family: Bacterial small subunit ribosomal RNA
Source: RNAcentral